This 74-nucleotide transfer RNA is filed under the name Candidatus Caccenecus avistercoris. Its description in RNAcentral is "tRNA-Trp". It matches the Rfam family "tRNA". From Rfam's summary of the family: Transfer RNA (tRNA) molecules are approximately 80 nucleotides in length. Their secondary structure includes four short double-helical elements and three loops (D, anti-codon, and T loops). Lineage: Bacteria; Bacillati; Bacillota; Bacilli. The record is from RNAcentral.
AGGGAAUUAGUUUAAUGGUAAAACUCCGGUCUCCAAAACCGUAGAUAAGUGUUCGAUUCACUUAUUCCCUGCCA